This 799-nucleotide ribosomal RNA is filed under the name uncultured Actinomycetes bacterium. RNAcentral describes it as "bacterial SSU rRNA". It matches the Rfam family "Bacterial small subunit ribosomal RNA", at positions 70 to 881 of the family's 1533-position model. Lineage: Bacteria; Bacillati; Actinomycetota; Actinomycetes. The record is from RNAcentral.
AAGGCCUGCAGCUUGCUGCGGGUACUCGAGUGGCGAACGGGUGAGUAACACGUGGGUGAUCUGCCUUGCACUUCGGGAUAAGCUUGGGAAACUGGGUCUAAUACCGGAUAGGACAGCUGUUUAGUGUCAGUUGUGGAAAGUUUUUUCGGUGCAAGAUGAGCUCGCGGCCUAUCAGCUUGUUGGUGGGGUAAUGGCCUACCAAGGCGUCGACGGGUAGCCGGCCUGAGAGGGUGUACGGCCACAUUGGGACUGAGAUACGGCCCAGACUCCUACGGGAGGCAGCAGUGGGGAAUAUUGCACAAUGGGCGGAAGCCUGAUGCAGCGACGCCGCGUGGGGGAUGAAGGCCUUCGGGUUGUAAACUCCUUUCGACAGGGACGAAGCGUAAGUGACGGUACCUGUAUAAGAAGCACCGGCUAACUACGUGCCAGCAGCCGCGGUAAUACGUAGGGUGCGAGCGUUGUCCGGAAUUACUGGGCGUAAAGAGCUCGUAGGUGGUUUGUCGCGUCGUCUGUGAAAUUCCGGGGCUUAACUCCGGGCGUGCAGGCGAUACGGGCUGACUUGAGUGCUGUAGGGGAGACUGGAAUUCCUGGUGUAGCGGUGAAAUGCGCAGAUAUCAGGAGGAACACCGAUGGCGAAGGCAGGUCUCUGGGCAGUAACUGACGCUGAGGAGCGAAAGCAUGGGUAGCGAACAGGAUUAGAUACCCUGGUAGUCCAUGCCGUAAACGGUGGGCGCUAGGUGUAGGGGGCUUCCACGUCUUCUGUGCCGUAGCUAACGCAUAAGCGCCCCGCCUGGGGAGU